GGGGAAUAUUGGACAAUGGGCGCAAGCCUGAUCCAGCAAUGCCGCGUGGAUGAAGAAGGUCUUCGGAUUGUAAAGUCCUUUCGGCGGGGACGAUGAUGACGGUACCCGCAGAAGAAGCCCCGGCUAACUUCGUGCCAGCAGCCGCGGUAAUACGAAGGGGGCUAGCGUUGCUCGGAAUGACUGGGCGUAAAGGGCGCGUAGGCGGUUUGGUCAGUUAGAUGUGAAAUUCCUGGGCUUAACCUGGGGGCUGCAUUUAAUACGGCCAGACUUGAGUGUGAAAGAGGGUCGUGGAAUUCCCAGUGUAGAGGUGAAAUUCGUAGAUAUUGGGAAGAACACCGGUGGCGAAGGCGGCGACCUGGUUCAUUACUGACGCUGAGGCGCGAAAGCGUGGGGAGCAAAC
Molecule: ribosomal RNA, 400 nt
Filed under: uncultured bacterium
Lineage: Bacteria
Description: bacterial SSU rRNA
Rfam family: Bacterial small subunit ribosomal RNA
Source: RNAcentral